UUCUAAAUGAAAUAUUUGUUUUAGGUUCAGUUCCGGAAGGUGUCUUAGAGGACAUUAAAGCGCGUACUUGCUUUGUAAGUGAUCUGAAGCGAGGACUAAAAAUCCAAGCAGCAAAAUUUAAUAUUGAUGGGAAUAAUGAGCGUCCCUCCCCACCCCCAAAUGUUGACUAUCCAUUAGAUGGAGAGAAGAUUUUACAUAUCCUUGGAUCAAUCAGAGAUUCAGUUGUGGAAAUUCUUUUUGAACAAGAUAAUGAAGAGCAAUCAGUUGCCACUUUAAUAUUGGAUUCCCUUAUACAGUGUCCGAUAGACACCAGGAAGCAACUAGCAGAGAAUUUGGUAGUCAUAGGUGGCACUUCUAUGUUGCCAGGAUUUCUCCACAGAUUGCUUGCAGAAAUAAGGUAUUUGGUAGAAAAACCAAAAUAUAAAAAAGCACUUGGCACUAAGACAUUUCGAAUUCAUACUCCACCUGCAAAAGCUAAUUGUGUGGCCUGGUUGGGAGG
RNAcentral lists this small RNA (499 nucleotides) under Pan troglodytes (chimpanzee). RNAcentral's name for it is "retained intron". Lineage: Eukaryota; Metazoa; Chordata; Mammalia; Primates; Hominidae. The record is from RNAcentral.